Cyclopterus lumpus (lumpfish) is the source of this 2521-nucleotide long non-coding RNA. RefSeq lists it as uncharacterized. The transcript has 4 exons. The record is from RefSeq and is a predicted model, not a curated record. Lineage: Eukaryota; Metazoa; Chordata; Actinopteri; Perciformes; Cyclopteridae.
GGGUUUCUCUGCCACCACUGUAACAGCCCCUUUGUUGUGAUUUUCCAGCUUUGUCAAGGAGCGUUUCGAAGCUUUGGCUGAUUCCCCAUCCCUGUCAAUCAUAAGAAAGAUACUGCUGUUUCACGUACGGUAGGAUCUCCAUGGUAGAUGACUUGACCCAUGAAGUCAGUGAAGAAGACGGCCUCAGCAAUGAUGGAGAACCAGGUGAGCAGGUGACAGGCGCACAGUCGCAGCAGCUCUGGAGGCAUCUUCAGCAUGGAGAGCCACAGCAGCCGCACCGUGGUCUCAACCUAAAGACAGCAGACCAAGUCAGACAAUACCCACCCAAAAAGACACACUUAACUGUGAAAUGUGGAAGUUCUAGAGGAGUCAUGGUUGUAAGGUUGGCGAGUUCCUUCUCACCUCUCCCUCUUCGCUCUCUGUAUCCCCACUGGAGGAGUUAGUGUUUCCGCUGCGGUGUCUGUUUCUCUGUCUUUGCCUUCUUCUGUGUCUGGCCUCCACUUCGCACAGGUCGUUCAUGCUGCGAGACGGCUUGAUGAGAUAAGCGGCGUUGGCCUGGCGGUAGCGGUGGCUCCCCACUCGGCCGUAGUAGGAGAAGGUGCAGGACGGCUGGCGGUAGAAGAUGUGACGGUGACGUGACUGCCGCAUGGGGGCUCCGGUACUGGCAGCUGGAAUAAGAGACAGAUCAACAUUAAGUGAUGGUUUAUUAUUAUUAUUCAAAGGUUCAGAAACCUUAAAGACACUAAGAAUAAGGUAGCACAUUUUCCCAUUUUCUUUGUACACUUGGCACGGGAUUUCCCAAAAUUACUUCUCCUCAGUGAUGCUGCUACCAUAAAGGGUGAAUCAAUUAUUUAAAAUACAUUGUUGUAAUCAGCAAGAUUCAAUACAAAAACGUCAGUUAAAAGUAAAAAAAAGAAAAAAUUAAUAAUGAUCAUAUCAGUUAAAAUAGCAAUAAAAAGAUUGGAUAGCCCAUUAAUAAUUAAAAUGUUUGAAUGAAUACUAUUUUUUAUCCCAUUGAAUCUAUAAUUGUGAAAAUGAAACAUAACGUGAAUGUACCAACCUUUGACCAUUCCAGCACGAUGAGCCUGUCCCUUGGAGCUCAAAUUGUUGGUGUCAGGGUUCGUCACACUGGCUAACAGCCGCCCAUUCAGUGUCCGCUGCUCAUUGAGCUGGUUGUUCAGCAACGCCUCCUGACCAUCGUCAUUUUCCAUUUCCUGUAAGAAAGCUGAAAGGCGGGAAAUUCUGGGACUGGUGGUUUGUGUUUGGUGAUUGUUGGCUUGGAGCAGGUCCUGACUUCCUGCACUGCUGCUGCGUCUGAUUUCGUCAAACCGGAUUGGCGGAGUGCUGCAGUUUGGGUUGAAGAAGUUACCAGGCGCAGGAGGCGAGCCGUGAUAGGGUGAGAGGCGGUCAGCAAAGAUGGACGGCUCUAGGUGGCACAGGUACAACGCAUCGUGGUCCAGGUGGUCGAGAGUGGCGUCUGCCAUGGCGAGAACACUGUCACUUUUACCUGGAGACAGACGAAGAGAGAUUAGUUUAGAUGUGGUUUAUUUGAUGUGAUCUGAGACCUAGCAAAUAUUGACCUAACAGACACACUUGUAUGUAUCACUACAUCCACUUGCAUAUACAGUAUAUAUAUAUAUUUAUAAUACGGAUAGAUGAAAUCAAGCAUUCUGAUUGGUUGAGAGUGAGUCACGGGGUGUACUCUAUUGAGCCAUAAAGUCCUGUACACCUGUUUACAUUUAUCUGAGCGUUCCAUAUCAGUGCGCACUCAAAAUAACAGGUAGAUUUUGCGCGGCCGUUAGUUUAAUUUCAAGCUUGACAGUUACCAAACACGUUUCAAGUGAACUUCGAUAUUUUGAUGAGUGGUUAGCCGAAGAGGAACUUCAGGUGGACGUGAUGCAACCAUAGAUAAGAAAGACAUUGAGACCUAUGAAAUGUUGCACAACGAAAAAAAGCUCCCUUCAAAGCUACUGGGCACCAAAUAUACAUGAAAGACAGCGUUGGAGUGAUAAUAAUAAUAAUAAUAAUAUCCUUCUGGAGAAGCACUUCACCAGCAAGCAAAGAGAGCGAGAGUGGUCGGAAGCGAUAUCAUCAGAGACGAAGGGGACAUGAGAAACAUUUUCCACGGAUGCACAACCUUGAAAACAAAGGACCACCAGGUAUUACCCUCCCUUCAAUUCCUUUGGAUUUGAAGGUUCAGCAAAAGAAGCACUCACUUCUCACAAGCUCCAUCUCUCGGAAGUCCAUGUCCAUAUCCCCAUGCUCAGACAGGUUGUCUCCAUAGGGGUCAUAGAGGUCGAAGCUGUCCAUCGUUUCAUCCUCUCCAAUCAAUUCAAGCUUGGGGCCGAGAUGUCCGGGCCUGCCAUUGGUGGAUGCUUGCAGUUUGGUGCGAUCCGGACUCUCCUGGGCUGCUCCUUGAUACUGAAGAGAUGCAACACCACAGAGACGGAGAAGAGGAUGGCAGCGAAGAAGAACAGGAUCUGCUCCUGGGACUUGAAGGCUGCUCCUAGGAAGGUGUGCG